UUCGGAUCGCAGGCUGCAACUCGCCUGCGUCAAGUUGGAAUUGCUAGUAAUCGCGGAUCAGCAUGCCGCGGUGAAUACGUUCCCGGGCCUUGUACACACCGCCCGUCAAACCAUGAGAGUUGGCAACACCCGAAGUCGGCAGUCUAACCGCAAGGAGGACGCCGCCGAAGGUGGGGUCGAUGAUUAGGGUUAAGUCGUAACAAGGUAAC
Molecule: ribosomal RNA, 209 nt
Filed under: uncultured bacterium
Lineage: Bacteria
Description: partial 16S ribosomal RNA
Rfam family: Bacterial small subunit ribosomal RNA
Source: RNAcentral